UAAGCAAUUAAAAUUACAAUAUUAGCAGUUAUUUUAGAUACAAAAGUACGAACAUGACAAAUUAAAUAAUGGUAAAACUAUUUUGUAACGCGUAGCAAAAUGGCCAAAAUGAGAAAUUACAUUGGAUAUUAUGAUACUAUUAAUCAUUAUCACACGGCGAAUAGUUGAAUAUUUUCAUGGUAACAAGUGGUAACGUUGAUUAUUGGG
Non-coding RNA from Cinara cedri, 207 nucleotides. Lineage: Eukaryota; Metazoa; Arthropoda; Insecta; Hemiptera; Aphididae. The record is from the annotation of a GenBank genome assembly.